This 462-nucleotide ribosomal RNA is filed under the name uncultured bacterium. RNAcentral's name for it is "partial 16S ribosomal RNA". It matches the Rfam family "Bacterial small subunit ribosomal RNA", at positions 28 to 507 of the family's 1533-position model. The record is from RNAcentral.
GACGAACGCUGGCGGCGUGCUUAACACAUGCAAGUCGAACGGAAAGGCCCUUCGGGGUCCUCGAGUGGCGAACGGGUGAGUAACACGUGGGUGAUCUGCCCUGCACUUUGGGAUAAGCCUGGGAAACUGGGUCUAAUACCGAAUAGGACCACGCGCUUCAUGGUGCGUGGUGGAAAGCUUUUGCGGUGUGGGAUGGGCCCGCGGCCUAUCAGCUUGUUGGUGGGGUAAUGGCCUACCAAGGCGACGACGGGUAGCCGGCCUGAGAGGGUGACCGGCCACACUGGGACUGAGAUACGGCCCAGACUCCUACGGGAGGCAGCAGUGGGGAAUAUUGCACAAUGGGCGCAAGCCUGAUGCAGCGACGCCGCGUGAGGGAUGACGGCCUUCGGGUCGUAAACCCCUUUCACCAGGGACGAAGCGUAAGUGACGGUACCUGGAGAAGAAGCACCGGCCAACUACGUG